Non-coding RNA from Oryza nivara, 213 nucleotides. Lineage: Eukaryota; Viridiplantae; Streptophyta; Magnoliopsida; Poales; Poaceae. The record is from Rfam.
CUAAAAUACAGUUUCGUACUAUUCACGUUCAACAUUUGACCGUUCAUCUUAUUUGAAACUUUUUUAUGAUUAGUAUUUUUAUUGCUAUUAGAUGAUAAAACAUGAAUAAUACUUUAUGUGUGACUAAAUAUUUUCAAAUUUUUCACAAAAUUUUUAAAUAAAACAGAUGUACGGUCAAAACGUUAGAGACGGAUAUCUACUGCUGUACUUAUU